This 259-nucleotide ribosomal RNA is filed under the name uncultured delta proteobacterium. Its description in RNAcentral is "partial 16S ribosomal RNA". It matches the Rfam family "Bacterial small subunit ribosomal RNA", at positions 1121 to 1382 of the family's 1533-position model. Lineage: Bacteria; Deltaproteobacteria. The record is from RNAcentral.
UCAUUUAGUUGGGCACUCUAAAGGAACCGCCUCGGUCAACGGGGAGGAAGUGGGAUGACGUCAAGUCCUCAUUGGCCUUUAUGCCCAGGGCUACACACGUGCUACAAUGGCCAGUACAAAGGGCUGCAAACCCGCGAGGGUCAGCAAAUCCCAAAAACCUGGCCUCAGUUCGGAUUGGAGUCUGCAACCCGACUCCAUGAAGUUGGAACCGCUAGUAAUCGCGGAUCAGCAUGCCGCGGUGAAUACGUUCCCGGGCCUU